This 396-nucleotide ribosomal RNA is filed under the name uncultured bacterium. RNAcentral's name for it is "bacterial SSU rRNA". It matches the Rfam family "Bacterial small subunit ribosomal RNA", at positions 30 to 426 of the family's 1533-position model. The record is from RNAcentral.
AUUGAACGCUGGCGGAAUGCUUUACACAUGCAAGUCGAACGGCAGCACGGACUUCGGUCUGGUGGCGAGUGGCGAACGGGUGAGUAAUAUAUCGGAACGUAUCCAAUAAUGGGGGAUAACUAAUCGAAAGGUUGGCUAAUACCGCAUACGCCCUACGGGGGAAAGCUAGGGACCUUCGGGCCUGGCGUUAAUGGAGCGGCUGAUAUCUGAUUAGCUAGUUGGUGAGGUAAAGGCUCACCAAGGCGACGAUCAGUAGCUGGUCUGAGAGGACGACCAGCCACACUGGAACUGAGACACGGUCCAGACUCCUACGGGAGGCAGCAGUGGGGAAUUUUGGACAAUGGGCGCAAGCCUGAUCCAGCCAUUCCGCGUGAGUGAAGAAGGCCUUCGGGUUGU